UACGUAGGAUGCGAGCGUUAUCCGGAAUUACUGGGUGUAAAGGGAGCGUAGACGGCCAGACAAGUCUGAAGUGAAAAUCCAGCGCUUAACGUUGGAAGUGCUUUGGAAACUGCCGGGCUAGAGUGCAGGAGGGGCAGGCGGAAUUCCUAGUGUAGCGGUGAAAUGCGUAGAUAUUAGGAGGAACACCAGUGGCGAAGGCGGCCUGCUGGACUGCAACUGACGUUGAGGCUCGAAGGCGUGGGGAGCAAACAGG
Molecule: ribosomal RNA, 253 nt
Filed under: uncultured bacterium
Lineage: Bacteria
Description: partial 16S ribosomal RNA
Rfam family: Bacterial small subunit ribosomal RNA
Source: RNAcentral